This 429-nucleotide ribosomal RNA is filed under the name Spumella elongata. RNAcentral describes it as "partial Eukaryotic large subunit ribosomal RNA". It matches the Rfam family "Eukaryotic large subunit ribosomal RNA", at positions 1 to 442 of the family's 3401-position model. The record is from RNAcentral. Lineage: Eukaryota; Chrysophyceae; Chromulinales; Chromulinaceae.
ACCUCCAAUCAGUCAAGAAUACCCGCUGAAUUUAAGCAUAUAACUAGGCGGAGGAAAAGAAACUAACCAGGAUUCCCUCAGUAACUGCGAGUGAAGCGGGAAAAGCUCAGACUGAAAAUCUUCGGAAUUGUAGUCUGGAGAAGUAUGGUCAGCCGAUGAUGAUGAGUGAAGUCUUCUGGAAAGGAGCGCCUUGGAGGGUGAUAGCCCCGUUCAUACUUAUCAUUAGAAGCGUACGACCUGCUUUCUACGAGUCGUGUUGUUUGGGACUGCAGCACUAAGUGGGUGGUAAAUUCCAUCUAAAGCUAAAUAUUGGUGGGAGACCGAUAGCGAACAAGUACCGUGAGGGAAAGAUGCAAAGAACUUUGAAAAGAGAGUUAAAUAGUACCUGAAAUUGCUGAAAUGGAACCGAUGGGAAGCAGUGUCGGUGGC